RNAcentral lists this ribosomal RNA (461 nucleotides) under uncultured bacterium. RNAcentral describes it as "bacterial SSU rRNA". It matches the Rfam family "Bacterial small subunit ribosomal RNA", at positions 73 to 518 of the family's 1533-position model. The record is from RNAcentral.
AUUAUAGCAAUAUUAUUAAAGAGAGUGGCGAACGGGCGAGUAACACGUAGAUAAUCUGCCUUCAGACGGGGACAACUCAGGGAAACUGUGCUAAUACCGAUGAGACCACAAGAAGGGAUUUUUGUGGCCAAAGGCGGGCAGCAAUGCUCGUGCUGAAAGAUGAGUCUGCGUCCUAUCAGCUAGUUGGUGGGGUAAAUGCCUACCAAGGCUAAGACGGGUAGCCGGCCUGAGAGGGUGAACGGCCACACUGGGACUGAGACACGGCCCAGACUCCUACGGGAGGCAGCAGUGAGGAAUUUUCCGCAAUGGGCGCAAGCCUGACGGAGCGACGCCGCGUGAGGGAUGAACAGCUUUCGGGUUGUAAACCUCUUUUAUUAAGGAAAAAGAUCUAUAUGCUAAUAUCAUGUAGAUUUGAUGGUACUUAUUGAAUAAGCCCCGGCUAACUACGUGCCAGCCGCUGC